GGAAGCGACCGGGUGGCGGCUCCUCAGCGAUGGGGAGAGGAAAGUCCGGACUUCAUAGGGCACGGCGCCUCGGGAAACCGAGGGACUCGGCCUAAGAACCGGGGACGGAAAGUGCAACAGAAACAAACCGUCUCGACUUGUCGGGAUAAGGGUGAAAUCGCGAGGUAAGAGCUCACGCCUUGGGCGGGCAACCGUUCAAGGGGGCAAACCCCGCCGGAAGCAAGGCCAAAUAGGGACGGGACGAAGCGGCCCGCUGACCGUCCGGGUAGGCCGCAUAGACAGAUCGCCGCACAAAAACAGAAUCCGGCUUAUAGGUCGUUUCCCCAC
Armatimonadetes bacterium OLB18 is the source of this 327-nucleotide non-coding RNA. NCBI's taxonomy places the organism in Bacteria, Bacillati, Armatimonadota. The record is from Rfam.